RNAcentral lists this non-coding RNA (202 nucleotides) under Zea mays. Its description in RNAcentral is "Bacterial small subunit ribosomal RNA". It matches the Rfam family "Bacterial small subunit ribosomal RNA", at positions 328 to 546 of the family's 1533-position model. Lineage: Eukaryota; Viridiplantae; Streptophyta; Magnoliopsida; Poales; Poaceae. The record is from Rfam by way of RNAcentral.
GGAUCAGAGCCGCCGGGAGCUGGGUGUCGACCCAUUUCCGCAAUGGGCGAAAGCCUGACGGAGCAAUGUCGCGUGGAGGUGGAAGGCCUACGGGUCGUCAACUUCUUUUCUCGGAGAAGAAACAAUGACGGUAUCUGAGGAAUAAGCAUCGGCUAACUCUGUGCCAGCAGCCGCGGUAAGACAGAGGAUGCAAGCGUUAUCC